Oncorhynchus keta (chum salmon) is the source of this 624-nucleotide long non-coding RNA. RefSeq lists it as uncharacterized. Lineage: Eukaryota; Metazoa; Chordata; Actinopteri; Salmoniformes; Salmonidae. The transcript has 3 exons. The record is from RefSeq and is a predicted model, not a curated record.
GACACAGAGGGUUUAACAUACUAUAACAAUGGACACAUCCAAUACAGAUGGAGGAAAACAGACACAGAGGGUUUAACAUACUAUAACAAUGGACACAUCCAAUACAGAUGGAGGAAAACAGACAGAGGGUUUAACAUACUAUAACAAUGGACACAUCCAAUACAGAUGGAGGAAAACAGACACAGAGGGUUUAACAUACUAUAACAAUGGACACAUCCAAUACAGAUGGAGGAAAACAGUCACAGCGGGUUUAACAUACUAUAACAAUGGACACAUCCAAUACAGAUGGAGGAAAACAGUCACAGAGGGUUUAACAUACUAUAACAAUGGACACAUCCAAUACAGAUGGAGGAAAACAGACAGAGGGUUUAACAUACUAUAACAAUGGACACAUCCAAUACAGAUGGAGGAAAACAGACACAGAGGGUUUAACAUACUAUAACAAUGGACACAUCCAAUACAGAUGGAGGAAAACAGACACAGAGGGUUUAACAUACUAUAACAAUGGACACAUCCAAUACAGAUGGAGGAAAACAGACAGAGGGUUUAACAUACUAUAACAAUGGACACAUCCAAUACAGAUGGAGGAAAACAGACACAGAGGGUUUAACAUACUAUAACAAU